Molecule: unclassified non-coding RNA, 345 nt
Filed under: soil metagenome
Description: partial contains 5.8S ribosomal RNA, internal transcribed spacer 2, and large subunit ribosomal RNA
Rfam family: 5.8S ribosomal RNA (bases 1-121)
Source: RNAcentral
GAUGAAGAACGCAGCGAAAUGCGAUAAGUAAUGCGUAUUGCAGAAUUUCCGUGAGUCAUCGAAUCUUUGAACGCACAUUGCGCCCACUGGUAUUCCGGUGGGCAUGCCUGUUCGAGCGUCAUUAUCCUCCCUCAAACCCCGGGUUUGGUGUUGGACCCAAGUUGUGUGAACAACUGGUCUCAAAGACAAUGACGGCGUCCGUGGGACCCUCGGUGCAACGAGCUUUUAGGAGCACGCAUCGAGUUGCAAGGACCUUCCGGGCCGGUCUCCUUUACCAUUUUACAAGGUUGACCUCGGAUCAGGUAGGAAUACCCGCUGAACUUAAGCAUAUCAAUAAGCGGAGGA